Molecule: ribosomal RNA, 433 nt
Filed under: uncultured bacterium
Lineage: Bacteria
Description: partial 16S ribosomal RNA
Rfam family: Bacterial small subunit ribosomal RNA
Source: RNAcentral
AACGAACGCUGGCGGCAUGCCUAACACAUGCAAGUCGAACGAGACCUUCGGGUCUAGUGGCGCACGGGUGCGUAACGCGUGGGAACCUGCCCUUAGGUUCGGAAUAACUCCCAGAAAGGGGUGCUAAUACCGGAUAAUGUCUUCGGACCAAAGAUUUAUCGCCUUUGGAUGGGCCCGCGUUGGAUUAGCUAGUUGGUAGGGUAAAAGCCUACCAAGGCGACGAUCCAUAGCUGGUCUGAGAGGAUGAUCAGCCACACUGGGACUGAGACACGGCCCAGACUCCUACGGGAGGCAGCAGUGGGGAAUAUUGGACACUGGGCGAAAGCCUGAUCCAGCAAUGCCGCGUGAGUGAUGAAGGCCUUAGGGUUGUAAAGCUCUUUUACCCGGGAUGAUAAUGACAGUACCGGGAGAAUAAGCUCCGGCUAACUCCGUG